GCAGAAGCUGAGGUUCCAAAAGGAGCCAGGCCUGGAGGCUGGGAGCCUGAGCUGCAGGGCGCGAUUCCCACCUGGCCUGCCCACUGCUGAGCCCUCCCGCUCUGCGUGGCCAGAUGUGAGUCAUAGGCAGAGUGGCCUUGGGCCUUGAACCCUGGCUCUUGCUUCCCACAGCGGCUUCCUUCCACUCCGGGGCUGAUUCAUCCUGCUUCCCCAGAUCUUCGGGGAAGCCAGGCUGUCAGAGGAGUCAUCCUCCUCUGCUGAGCUAUCUUUGGAUUUCCCUCCAAAUCCACAGCCAGCCUCGCCCCUCAGCCCUGACAGCUAAUCUGGGGCCUGUGCCACCCACUGCCACACACUGCUCUUCCUCUGUAUGCAACCCACCUGGGGUGAAGGAGACAGGAACAGGACAGGACCUGUGCAGGCAUUUCCAGCUCCCUCCCCCUGCAGGACGCCUUCCCCUGAAACUCACUCCUCAGGGACCACUCUCCUCGUCCCACCCCUCCUCAGCUGGCAAGCUCUUUCCCACUCCUCCUUUAGGCCUUCGCUUAGAUGUCCCCUCCUCCAGGAAGCCCUCUCUGAAGCUCCCGUAACCCCAUGAACCGGUUUCCAUCACGAUAAUAUUUACUGCACCAUGCACCACGUGAAGCCCUUUAUAUAAAUGACCUCAUAGAAUCUCCAUGAAAAGACGCAAAGUGGGUACUGUUGGUUUCAUUUCACAGAUGAGGAAACUGAGGCACAGAGAGAUUAAGAAACCUGGCCAAAGCCACAGCAAAGAGGUGGGGGAGCUGGGAUUUGAGCCAGCACUUAGCCAGCUGGCCCAUUCAGAUGCUCAGAGGUCAUGACACUAUUUUCGCUUUUGCCCAGUGGUACGUCUUCAGUGUCCCACGCAGGGACUCGGUGACUAGCCCCGAAUGAUCACACUGAAUACCCGGGGUGGCCUGAAGCACCUCACCUUCCACCACCAAAAUUGCCAUAAGGCCAAGUGGUUAUGCAGCGAAAAUACUCGUGGCAAAGAUGUCUACAGCAAACAGGCUUGCAGCAAAGUACCAAGAAACCCUGGUUGCUGACUGUUCUGCACCCAGUCUGACUUGUGACGCCUUCCCCGACACCAAGCAAUUCUCCGACACCAGCAGGAUGUCCUACAGUUCCAUCGAUUCUGUCACCGUCUACCUGGAGAUAGCAUCAGACCCCACAGGUUAAGGGCUCAGUUCCACAAGACUGCCCCCACUUCAGACGCCAGUGGCAAGUCCAGGUUGCCACCUGUGCUUCUGACCGGCUGUCUAUAGACUGGAGGUUCCAACAACCCCCUCCUUGGGUUCCAUUAAUUUGCGAGAAUGGCUCACAGAACUGAGAAACAUUUCACGUACCAGUUUAUUAUAAAAGGAUGUACCUCAGAACAGCCAGAUGGAAGAGAUGCAUCGGGCAAGAUGAAAGAAUGAAUGAAAUGAACAGAGAAAUGAAUCGAGAUGAACAGAUCAUUCGGCAAUGGCUCUCAAAGUUCCCACUGCACGUUUUCUUUGACCCAGCAACUCCGGCUCGA
This 1537-nucleotide long non-coding RNA is filed under the name Equus asinus (donkey). RNAcentral describes it as "lncRNA (ENSEASG00005033421.1)". The record is from RNAcentral. Lineage: Eukaryota; Metazoa; Chordata; Mammalia; Perissodactyla; Equidae.